This 500-nucleotide ribosomal RNA is filed under the name uncultured bacterium. RNAcentral's name for it is "partial 16S ribosomal RNA". It matches the Rfam family "Bacterial small subunit ribosomal RNA", at positions 899 to 1397 of the family's 1533-position model. The record is from RNAcentral.
ACUCAAAGGAAUUGACGGGGACCCGCACAAGCGGUGGAGCAUGUGGUUUAAUUCGAGGCAACGCGAAGAACCUUACCAGCUCUUGACAUCCUAUUCGCCGUGUCUGUAAUGGACACUUCGGUUCGGCCGGAAUAGUGACAGGUGCUGCAUGGCUGUCGUCAGCUCGUGUCGUGAGAUGUUGGGUUAAGUCCCGCAACGAGCGCAACCCUCAUCUUCAGUUACCAGCGGGUAAUGCCGGGGACUCUGAAGAAACUGCCUGUGUCAAACAGGAGGAAGGCGGGGAUGACGUCAAGUCAGCACGGCCCUUACGAGCUGGGCUACACACGUGCUACAAUGGUGGUGACAAUGGGCCGCUACUUCGCAAGAAGAUGCUAAUCCCAAAAAACCAUCUCAGUUCGGAUUGUUCUCUGCAACUCGAGAACAUGAAGCUGGAAUCGCUAGUAAUCGUAGAUCAGCAUGCUACGGUGAAUACGUUCCCGGGUCUUGUACACACCGCCCGU